This 454-nucleotide ribosomal RNA is filed under the name uncultured bacterium. RNAcentral's name for it is "partial 16S ribosomal RNA". It matches the Rfam family "Bacterial small subunit ribosomal RNA", at positions 28 to 507 of the family's 1533-position model. The record is from RNAcentral.
GAUGAACGCUGACAGAAUGCUUAACACAUGCAAGUCUACUUGAACUUCGGUUUGGGUGGCGGACGGGUGAGUAACGCGUAAAGAACUUGCCUCACAGUUAGGGACAACAUUUGGAAACGAAUGCUAAUACCUGAUAUUAUGAUUUUAGGGCAUCCUAAAAUUAUGAAAGCUAUAUGCGCUGUGAGAGAGCUUUGCGUCCCAUUAGCUAGUUGGAGAGGUAACGGCUCACCAAGGCGAUGAUGGGUAGCCGGCCUGAGAGGGUGAACGGCCACAAGGGGACUGAGACACGGCCCUUACUCCUACGGGAGGCAGCAGUGGGGAAUAUUGGACAAUGGACCAAAAGUCUGAUCCAGCAAUUCUGUGUGCACGAUGACGUUUUUCGGAAUGUAAAGUGCUUUCUGUUGGGAAGAAAAAAAUGACGGUACCAACAGAAGAAGUGACGGCUAAAUACGUG